This 73-nucleotide transfer RNA is filed under the name Bos taurus (domestic cattle). It matches the Rfam family "tRNA". From Rfam's summary of the family: Transfer RNA (tRNA) molecules are approximately 80 nucleotides in length. Lineage: Eukaryota; Metazoa; Chordata; Mammalia; Artiodactyla; Bovidae. The record is from Rfam by way of RNAcentral.
UCCCUGGUAGCUCAAACGGUAAAAGCGUCUGCCUACAAUGCAGGAGACCCAGGUUAGAUUUCUGGGCAGGAAG